RNAcentral lists this ribosomal RNA (413 nucleotides) under uncultured bacterium. Its description in RNAcentral is "bacterial SSU rRNA". It matches the Rfam family "Bacterial small subunit ribosomal RNA", at positions 505 to 916 of the family's 1533-position model. The record is from RNAcentral.
GUGCCAGCCGCCGCGGUAAUACGUAGGUGGCGAGCGUUGUCCGGAAUUACUGGGUGUAAAGGGCGUGUAGGCGGGGGAGCAAGUCAGAUGUGAAAUUCCGAGGCUUAACUUCGGCGCUGCAUCUGAAACUGUUUCUCUUGAGUGCUGGAGAGGAAAGUGGAAUUCCCAGUGUAGCGGUGAAAUGCGUAGAGAUUGGGAGGAACACCAGUGGCGAAGGCGGCUUUCUGGACAGUAACUGACGCUGAGGCGCGAAAGCGUGGGGAGCAAACAGGAUUAGAUACCCUGGUAGUCCACGCUGUAAACGAUGGAUACUAGGUGUGGGAGGUAUCGACCCCUUCCGUGCCGGAGUUAACACAAUAAGUAUCCCACCUGGGGAGUACGGCCGCAAGGUUGAAACUCAAAUGAAUUGACGG